RNAcentral lists this unclassified non-coding RNA (240 nucleotides) under soil metagenome. RNAcentral's name for it is "partial contains 5.8S ribosomal RNA, internal transcribed spacer 2, and large subunit ribosomal RNA". The record is from RNAcentral.
AACGCACGAGACCUGCGGACCUGCGGAGGGAUCAUUAUAGAGUGGUAAACCCCCCGUAAAAGGGGGGGACCUCCUGUCCUUUGUAGGCUCUUUUUUAAAAGGGCUUUUUUUAAUUUUCUGCUUCGGUGGGGUUAUCCCACCGGAACAACCUCAAAACUCUUAUCAAAAAAUCGUUCUGUCUGAGAACCUUUUAUAAUAAAAAAAAACUUUUAGCAAUGGAUCUCUAGAUCGGAAGAGCAC